Long non-coding RNA from Saimiri boliviensis boliviensis (Bolivian squirrel monkey), 3521 nucleotides. NCBI's taxonomy places the organism in Eukaryota, Metazoa, Chordata, Mammalia, Primates, Cebidae. The record is from Ensembl.
GCCGCAGUUUGUGUGUGUGUGAGUGUGUGUGUGUAUGUGUAUGUGUGUGUGUGUUUCUCUCCAAUGUGGUUUAAUCAUUAACUUUCUUCUGCUUUAUUUUACCUUCAUGUAGGGCAGGCCACCUAGUUCCCAACCUGAAAUUAGUUUACUCUGUAGUGAAAAACAACAUUCAAGUCACAAGAAGAAUCUGUGGAGUGAUGUUCCUGAGAUCACCCAGGACAGGCUCCCAGUCCCGCAAGCAUUGUCCCUGGGGUUGGCCUCUGCACCUGACAUUUUUAGGGCCCGAGGCCCUCACUUCUGGGCCAAGCCAAGAGAAGAAAGAGCAAUUCAAAAAUUCAUCGUGGAGACUGCAGUAGAAAUGAAGAACUGGCUCCACCCCCACAGGAUGUUACCCCAGCUGCUUUCCAUUCACAAUCUGGUUCUGAGCAGACCAAGGAAAACACAGGACGAGGCUGUGCUCCGGCUCAAUUAUACAUUCAAAUUGCCUGUAUUUAAAAACCCCUAAAAACUGUAAUGGCUUAAUUAAGCUGGUAGCUUUAUGGCAUGCUUCUCCUCACAGCCUAAUUCAAAGCCCUUUCUCUUUCACUGAGAAGUCAAUGUGACAAUUCUGUCUUGCUGGGAUGGCUGCCGCAAGGAGGAGGGGCUACAGGAUGGGAAAAUGAAGAAAGUGGAUCUUGGUGGAAGUUAAAUUUCUCUUGUGGCAGAUGGUCUACAAAUCUCCAGUCCUUCAGAGUACAUAAAACGGGUCCCUGGGGAAAGAGUAGGCAUUCAUCUAGGUUCUAGGAAAAGUAGAAUGAAUUUUCACAUGCUGAAGCUCGUCUUUGGAGUCCAUCAACUAAAAAGGGUCUCUUCUGAAGAAGAGAAAUUCAGGUUAAGAAUUCUAUUUUUUUUUUCUCCUAUAAAAGAGCAGGUUGGCCUUACCCUCACCUCCCCGUCCCCCAUCUAAAUGCCAUUGUUCUUACUUUCCAUGCCCAUGGGAUAUUUAUGGAGUAGCAUUUUAAUGGCACGGAAUGAACUUCCUGCCUUCAUGUAGAAGUGGCUGGCCUCCGUGGAUAGGGGUGCUGCUGCCACUCACUGUCAUCUGCUUUACAGAAAGAGCCUGUUAAGGCUGCAACAGUUUCAUUAUCAGAACAUUCAGGUCUCUUGCUAUUGUUUGAGAAAUCCUUCGUUUGAGGAUAUGUUGAGGCAUUGUCACAUGUAGAAAGUCACUUUUUAAGGAAAUUAAUUACUCGUAACCUUUAUUUGUUUAAAUGCAGUUUAAGAUCUGUGCUAAAGAAUCAGACUAUUUCACCUCCAAUAUCACCUACGUCACGCACUAGUAGUGAAAACUUAUGUUAGUGACUUCAUUUUUCUUAUCUCUAAAAUGGGAUAAUAAUACUGAUUUUUAGCUCACAAGUUUGGUAGGAUUGAAUAAAUAAUACACCUGAGGUAAUUAGCACAGUGCCCAGGCCUAAAUCACUUAAUGAUAUUAGUUAAUAAAAACAAUAACAAUUUCACCAAGUUCACAUUCUGUAAGAGUUAUACUUACAGGAACACUUAACAAUUAUAUAUCUAAUCUUCAUCAGAUAGAGAAAGAGACAUAUUUGCCAUCCUGGUUUCUCGGGUUCAUAGAGAAGUAAUGGCAACACAAUUUCACUACAUUUUGCUUAUUUGGGAUUCUGGUGUCUGUCUUUUUAUUUCUCCUUUAACAGCUGCUCUCAUUAGCCUUUUGGGAAUCCAGCUAAAGAGUUUUUCAUUUUUAGGAAGCCACAUGUUCCCUAUCUUUAAAUCAAAGGUGAAAUACAGCGUACCAUGGCAAUAAUCCAACAUUUGAAGGCCACAUGGACUUUCCAGUUUAAACUCAUUUUCUAUGAAGUCAAAACUCAUCCUUCGCUUUUGAAAGCACCAAAAGCAAUUAGCUGAGACAGCAGAGAACAGACAGGAAAAGGAGGCCCCUGGUGGCCAAAAUGAGGCUUCUCCCUUUCCGUUUUUAAUGGUAUGCGAAAGGCAUUAAUCCACACUUUCAUUUUCUAUUAGCCAAAUAGAAAUGUCUUGAGAUAAUGUGAAUACCUUAUGGCAUAAGUGACUUUCUAAAGUAUCUUAUUAGAACUCCUUAUCUGUGUAAAUUAGGCAGUACUGAGGCUUGACAGCCAGAAACAUAUUUCUUAAAAGCUGACAAUUACGAGAAGCUCCCCAAAAGUUAGCCAAAUACCACAGGGGAAAAUUCCAGAGGGCAGCUCUAGAGUGUUCGCAAGGCUGGCACCUUUCUGCCAUGUCACAUGCAGGUGACCUCCUUGGGUGGCAGCUUCAUUUAGAAAUGAAGUCAGAUUUCCUAGAUGCCUCUCAAGAACCAUGAGGCCAAACCACGUGGUCACAAAUAGAUGUUGGGAUAUUAUUGCAGAAACAGAUAAAAACUUUAUCCGUGUUGGGUGUUCAAUACACUUUGAGAAAGAUACCCUAGAUUUCAAGUGCGUUUGUUUUAAAAAAUAAGGUUGUAGAGUAUUUAGACAGCUUUGCUCAUUUUCAUGUAGAAAGGCCUAGAGUGUUGGAGAAAAUCCAAAUAAAAUGCAAAGGAAUAAGAAAAAAAAAAAAACCCAAAAACCUCUAGAAAGUGUUUCUAUCUCUUCAGAAUGGAGGGUUAUGUGUUGUUUGAUGAAAUUAGCUUAUCUAAGGGUAUGUGAGGAAAAGCCAGGUAUUUGGUGAUGUUACCGAAAUCCAAAUUCCAAAAUUCAAUCUCUACCUCUUUCCACUCCACCUGCUCUGCUCCACCCCCAGAGGCUGCACCACAUUGAUCCUCACAUUAAGCCUCCAACUAGUCUGUUCAGAUUUACUUGGAAAUAAAGAGCUACUUUAUUUAUUUUCCUGGGAGACUUGGCCAGGGGCCUUCUGGGUCCAUCAUCUGCACUGUUUUCCUUUAUUUUAAAGUUUCUCCUUACAGGACUGCCUCCCUGCAAACUUGUGUUGGCUAUUACAAAUAGACACCAUUACCUUUGAAAAUGGAUUCAUUCAUUCCAUAAAAAUUCACUGAACUCUAUUGUAAAGAUCAGUAUGCUUCCACCAUAAAGAAAAUUUUCUACAUUCAGAUUUUUCUUGUAGGUGUUUGUGUGCACUUGAGCUUUUUCUUUUUGUAUCUGAGUUUUAUGAUUCAAGCUAUUUUCUUAAAAUUCAAGCUCCAUCUGAUUUUUUUUUAAAUGUGGGCCAUUUAUCUUACUACAUGAAUCAAUUUUCUCUGACCAGGGGCCUCUUCUCCUCAUCAAUAUUGUUGCUUUUCAAUUCCUCCCUUAUAUUUCAGGUAGAUGGUUAAAGUAGUGUGACCACAGUUAAGGACACAUCAGAAUAUCUCCUGCUGAGGCAAAGAAGAUAAACACAGUUAAUGGAUAAAUAAUAGGCCAAUGCUGAGGUCAAUAUUUACCCCUCUGCUACAAUAAAUCUUGAUAACUUGAAAACUACCAAAACAAGAUGUCAAUAAUCAGUAUGGUGUGCUAUAGCCUUCCAAAAUAGUUUAUCAGAAAGUUAUGGAAAUGCUGGAAAUAAAGAUUGCA